Long non-coding RNA from Ictalurus punctatus (channel catfish), 2202 nucleotides. The record is from Ensembl. NCBI's taxonomy places the organism in Eukaryota, Metazoa, Chordata, Actinopteri, Siluriformes, Ictaluridae.
AAUGUUGGCAUUUGACGGUGAAUGCUGUUGAAUGUUGUUGAAUGUUGGUAUUUGAUGGUGUAUGUUGUUAUAUGAUGGUGAAUGUUUUUGAAUGUUGGUAUUUGUUGGUGAACGUUGUUGAAUGUUGGUGUAUGUUGGUAUUUGAUGGUGAAUGUUGGUAUUUGAUGGUAAAUGUUGGUAUUUGAUGGUAAAUGUUGAAUGUUGGUGUAUGUUGUUGAAUGUUGGUAUUUAAUAAUGAAUGUUGUUGAAUGUUGAUAUUUGAUGGUGUAUGUUGUUGAAUGUUGGUAUUUGAUAGUGAAUGUUGAAGGUUGGUAUUUGAUGGUGUAUGUUGUUGAAUGUUGGUAUUUGAUAGUGAAUGUUUUUGAAGGUUGGUAUUUGAUGGUGUAUGUUGUUAUAUGAUGGUGAAUGUUUUUGAAUGUUGGUAUUUGUUGGUGAACGUUGUUGAAUGUCGGUGUAUGUUGGUGAAUGUUGGUAUUUGAUGGUGAAUGUUGGUAUUUGAUGGUAAAUGUUGAAUGUUGGUGUAUGUUGAAUGUUGGUAUUUGUUGGUGAACGUUGUUGAAUGUCGGUGUAUGUUGGUGAAUGUUGGUAUUUGAUGGUGAAUGUUGGUAUUUGAUGGUAAAUGUUGAAUGUUGGUGUAUGUUGAAUGUUGGUAUUUAAUAAUGAAUGUUGUUGAAUGUUGGUAUUUGAUGUUGAAUGUUGAUAUUUGAUGGUGUAUGUUGUUGAAUGUUGGUAUUUGAUAGUGAAUGUUGUUGAAGGUUGGUAUUUGAUGGUGUAUGUUGUUGAAUGUUGGUAUUUGAUAGUGAAUGUUGUUGAAGGUUGGUAUUUGAUGGUGUAUGUUGUUGAAGGUUGGUAUUUGAUGGUGUAUGUUGUUGAAUGUUGUUAUAUGAUGGUGUAUGUUGUUGAAGUUUGGUAUUUGAUGGUGUAUGUUGAAUGUUGGUAUUUGAUAGUGAAUGUUGAAGGUUGGUAUUUGAUGUUGUUGAAUGUUGGUAUUUGAUGGUGUAUGUUGUUGAAUGUUUGUGUUUGAUGGAGAAUGUUGGUGUUGAUGGUGAAUGUUGUUGAAUGUUGGUAUUUGAUGGUAUAUGUUGUUGAAUGUUGGUAUUUGAUGGUAUAUGUUGUUGAAUGUCGGUGUAUGUUGAAUAUUGGUAUUUGAUGGUGAAUGCUGUUGAAUGUUUGUGUUUGAUGGAGAAUGUUGAAUGUGUGUGUUUGUUGAAUGUUGGUGUAUGUUGUUGAAUGUUGGUGAGUGUUGGUGAAUGUCGGUGUUGGUGAAUGUUGGUGUUUGUUGGAGAAUGUUGGUGUUUGAUGGAGAAUGUUGUGGGUGGUGUUGCUGACUAGCUGCAUUUCUAUUCUGACUGUGUUCAGGUGGAAUAGAGAGAAAAAUGGAGAAGUGCUUUGCUUUUAUAGAAAAGCCUGCAGGUGAGGCUUUUUGGUCGUCAUUGAUUUAUUCAAAGUUGAGCUAUGAUCCCUGAAGCAUUUUGGCUGUAGACUUACUCACUUGACAUUGAUCCUACAGUAAACACAUCCUACUGUACACUUCGUUAUUUUAUGUACUACAUGGAACAUUCGCUGGCACAGGCUGGGCAAUUUUUCUGCACUAGUGUAUGCUAUGAUCUUCAUAGGGAUAGGGGGAUGAUACAUAUAUAGAUCUGAAGAGACUGAGGAGGAUAUGUACAUGUUUUUUUUUGUUGUUGUUUUUUUUUUUACCCGACUUUACACCAUAUAACCCUGUAGACUCAGUUACUUCACUCUAGAAACUGUUACACGCAUGGUAGAGCUGUAUAUUAUAUUAUUAUUAGAAAAUUAUAUUACCCUCUUGUAGACCCAAAUGACCCAACGUUCACCCUAAUACCAACUGUAGAACCUAUUAUCCCCCCUGUAGAACAUAUGGCCUUCACUGUGCACCCGAUUAACCCACUGUACACCCUAAUACCCCCAACUGUACACCGUACUACUCCGACUGUACACCCUAUUAUCCUCACUGUACACCUCACUACUCCCCCUGUACACUCUAAACUCCCACUGUACACCCUAUUAUGCUCACUAUGGAGCCCAUCACUCACACUGUAGACCCUAUUACCCUCACUGUACACCACGUUACCCACCAUAUUGACCCUUUGUCCCAAUUAUAGAUCCAUUUACUCCCACCGUAUACCCAAUUAUCACCCAACCCUGUUACUCCCUGUAGACCCUAUUACUCCCCAUCCC